This 427-nucleotide ribosomal RNA is filed under the name uncultured bacterium. Its description in RNAcentral is "bacterial SSU rRNA". It matches the Rfam family "Bacterial small subunit ribosomal RNA", at positions 355 to 774 of the family's 1533-position model. The record is from RNAcentral.
UGGGGAAUUUUGGACAAUGGGCGCAAGCCUGAUCCAGCCAUGCCGCGUGCAGGAAGAAGGCCUUCGGGUUGUAAACUGCUUUUGUACGGAACGAAAAGGUGCCUUCUAAUAAAGGGCGCUCAUGACGGUACCGUAAGAAUAAGCACCGGCUAACUACGUGCCAGCAGCCGCGGUAAUACGUAGGGUGCGAGCGUUAAUCGGAAUUACUGGGCGUAAAGCGUGCGCAGGCGGUUUUGUAAGACAGAGGUGAAAUCCCCGGGCUCAACCUGGGAACUGCCUUUGUGACUGCAAGGCUGGAGUGCGGCAGAGGGGGAUGGAAUUCCGCGGGUAGCAGUGAAAUGCGUAGAUAUGCGGAGGAACACCGAUGGCGAAGGCAAUCCCCUGGGCCUGCACUGACGCUCAUGCACGAAAGCGUGGGGAGCAAACA